GACGCUGGCGGCGUGCCUACACAUGCAGUCGAGCGCGAUUAGUUGGAUUGGAGACUUCAGUCAUUAGAAUACUAUGAGAGCGGCGGACGGGUGAGUAACCCGUGAACUACCUGCCCUGUACAGGGGGAUAACCACUGGAAACGGUGAUUAAUACCCCCUAACCCCAAAGGAUCCCCUGGUCCCAUGGGCAAGCCUUGGCGGUUUGGAUGGGCUCGCGUCUGAUUAACUAAUUGGUGAAGUAAUGGCUCCCCGAGGCAUCGAUUAGUAACCGACCUGGUAAGGUGACCGGCCACACUGGAAAUGACACCCCGACCACACUCCUACGGGAGGCAGCAGUGGCGACU
RNAcentral lists this ribosomal RNA (344 nucleotides) under uncultured bacterium. RNAcentral's name for it is "bacterial SSU rRNA". It matches the Rfam family "Bacterial small subunit ribosomal RNA", at positions 32 to 362 of the family's 1533-position model. The record is from RNAcentral.